Molecule: small RNA, 51 nt
Filed under: Arabidopsis thaliana (thale cress)
Lineage: Eukaryota; Viridiplantae; Streptophyta; Magnoliopsida; Brassicales; Brassicaceae
Description: ATSL282710
Source: RNAcentral
UUUUUUUGGUAUUUUUAUGUGACGGAAAUAGCAUUUGUGGUGGAUAAAGAG